AUAGCUCAGUUGGUAGAGCAUAACCUUGCCAAGGUUAGGGUCGCGAGUUCGAGUCUCGUUUUCCGCU
This 67-nucleotide transfer RNA is filed under the name Phocaeicola vulgatus str. 3775 SL(B) 10 (iv). RNAcentral's name for it is "Bacteroides vulgatus str. 3775 SL(B) 10 (iv) partial tRNA-Gly". It matches the Rfam family "tRNA". Rfam says of the family: Transfer RNA (tRNA) molecules are approximately 80 nucleotides in length. The record is from RNAcentral. Lineage: Bacteria; Pseudomonadati; Bacteroidota; Bacteroidia; Bacteroidales; Bacteroidaceae. RNAcentral also lists the same sequence under 1 other name.